Molecule: non-coding RNA, 355 nt
Organism: Arachis ipaensis
Lineage: Eukaryota; Viridiplantae; Streptophyta; Magnoliopsida; Fabales; Fabaceae
Source: RefSeq, a predicted model, not a curated record
CAAUUUACAAACCAAAAUAAGUGUUUGGGUUGGCUUUAUUUACAAGGAAUUAUUAGCAUUUAGUAUAAAUGUAAUAAUUGCCCUAAGGGGAUAAGAGUGUUAAGUUGAACUCAGCAGUUUUUGAAGGACUUGGUGAAGCAAAUCAUAAAGCGGUGAUGGUAAUGAAUCAAAACUCUAAGCAAAGAUUAUUGCCCACUCCUAAAACCAAUAAUAAACCUUCACACUCGGGAAGAGAUAGCGGCUCAUCUGGUUGGAAGAAGUUCCUGUCAUGUUCCCUUUAAUAAUUAUUACCACAGCCAUGUAGAUAUGUAUACAUAUAUACAGUAAGGUCCAUCUAUUGUCAUCUUUCUCUCUU